GACGAACGCUGGCGGCGUGCCUAAUACAUGCAAGUCGAACGCUUCUUUCCUCCCGAGUGCUUGCACUCAAUUGGAAAGAGGAGUGGCGGACGGGUGAGUAACACGUGGGUAACCUACCCAUCAGAGGGGGAUAACACUUGGAAACAGGUGCUAAUACCGCAUAACAGUUUAUGCCGCAUGGCAUAAGAGUGAAAGGCGCUUUCGGGUGUCGCUGAUGGAUGGACCCGCGGUGCAUUAGCUAGUUGGUGAGGUAACGGCUCACCAAGGCCACGAUGCAUUGCCGACGUGAGAGGGUGGUCGCCCGCACGGGAACUGAGACACGGCCCAGACUCCUACGGGAGGCAGCAGUAGGGAAUCUUCGGCAAUGGACGAAAGUCUUACAGAGCAACGCCGCGUGAGUGAAGAAGGAUUUCGGAGCUUAAAACUCUGUUGUUAGAGAAGAACAGGGACGUCAGUAACUGAACGUCGCCUGACGGUAUCUAACCAGAAAGCCACGGCUAACUACGUG
This 508-nucleotide ribosomal RNA is filed under the name uncultured bacterium. RNAcentral describes it as "partial 16S ribosomal RNA". It matches the Rfam family "Bacterial small subunit ribosomal RNA", at positions 28 to 507 of the family's 1533-position model. The record is from RNAcentral.